UGGCUCAGAACGACGCUGGCGGCGCGUUUAAGCAUGCAAGUCGAGCGGCAAGGCCUCGGGCCCCUAGAGCGGCGGACGGGUGAGUAACACGUGGACAAUCUGCCCCCCGGCCCGGGAUAGCCCAGGGAAACCUGGAUUAAUACCGGAUGAGACGGGACCCGCGAUGGCGGGAUCCGGGAAAGGCGCUGCGGCGCCGCCGGGGGAUGAGUCUGCGUCCCAUUAGCUAGACGGCGGGGUAACGGCCCACCGUGGCGACGAUGGGUAGCCGGCCUGAGAGGGUGGACGGCCACAUUGGAACUGAGACACGGUCCAGACUCCUACGGGAGGCAGCAGCUAAGAAUCUUCCGCAAUGGGCGAAAGCCUGACGGAGCCGACGCCGCGUGAACGAAGAAGGCCGUGAGGUUGUAAAGUUCUUUUCGGGAGGGGGAACAACCGUGGCAGGGAAUGGCCGCGGGAUGACGUGAAUCCCGGAAUAAGCCCCGGCUAACUACGUGCCAGCCGCCGC
Molecule: ribosomal RNA, 505 nt
Filed under: uncultured bacterium
Lineage: Bacteria
Description: bacterial SSU rRNA
Rfam family: Bacterial small subunit ribosomal RNA
Source: RNAcentral